This 322-nucleotide ribosomal RNA is filed under the name uncultured bacterium. Its description in RNAcentral is "bacterial SSU rRNA". It matches the Rfam family "Bacterial small subunit ribosomal RNA", at positions 28 to 338 of the family's 1533-position model. The record is from RNAcentral.
GAUGAACGCUGGCGGCGUGCCUAAUACAUGCAAGUCGAGCGAAUGGAUUAAGAGCUUGCUCUUAUGAAGUUAGCGGCGGACGGGUGAGUAACACGUGGGUAACCUACCCAUAAGACUGGGAUAACUCCGGGAAACCGGGGCUAAUACCGGAUAAUAUUUUGAGCUGCAUAGUUCGAAAUUGAAAGGCGGCUUCGGCUGUCACUUAUGGAUGGACCCGCGUCGCAUUAGCUAGUUGGUGAGGUAACGGCUCACCAAGGCAACGAUGCGUAGCCGACCUGAGAGGGUGAUCGGCCACACUGGGACUGAGACACGGCCCAGACUC